RNAcentral lists this transfer RNA (92 nucleotides) under Emydomyces testavorans. Its description in RNAcentral is "tRNA-Asp". It matches the Rfam family "tRNA". Rfam says of the family: Transfer RNA (tRNA) molecules are approximately 80 nucleotides in length. Their secondary structure includes four short double-helical elements and three loops (D, anti-codon, and T loops). Further hydrogen bonds mediate the characteristic L-shaped molecular structure. tRNAs have two regions of fundamental functional importance: the anti-codon, which is responsible for specific mRNA codon recognition, and the 3' end, to which the tRNAs corresponding amino acid is attached (by aminoacyl-tRNA synthetases). tRNAs cope with the degeneracy of the genetic code in two manners: having more than one tRNA (with a specific anti-codon) for a particular amino acid; and 'wobble' base-pairing, i.e. permitting non-standard base-pairing at the 3rd anti-codon position. Lineage: Eukaryota; Fungi; Ascomycota; Eurotiomycetes; Onygenales; Nannizziopsiaceae. The record is from RNAcentral.
UCCUCUAUGGUCUAGUGGUCAUGAUUUCCGCUUGUCAAAUUCGACAGAGUUAACAAGCGCGGGAGACCGGGGUUCGAUUCCCCGUGGGGGAG